GACGAACGCUGGCGGCGUGCCUAAUACAUGCAAGUCGAGCGAGCGGAACUAACAGAUUUACUUCGGUAAUGACGUUAGGAAAGCGAGCGGCGGAUGGGUGAGUAACACGUGGGGAACCUGCCCCAUAGUCUGGGAUACCACUUGGAAACAGGUGCUAAUACCGGAUAAGAAAGCAGAUCGCAUGAUCAGCUUUUAAAAGGCGGCGUAAGCUGUCGCUAUGGGAUGGCCCCGUGGUGCAUUAGCUAGUUGGUAAGGUAAAGGCUUACCAAGGCGAUGAUGCAUAGCCGAGUUGAGAGACUGAUCGGCCACAUUGGGACUGAGACACGGCCCAAACUCCUACGGGAGGCAGCAGUAGGGAAUCUUCCACAAUGGACGCAAGUCUGAUGGAGCAACGCCGCGUGAGUGAAGAAGGUUUUCGGAUCGUAAAGCUCUGUUGUUGGUGAAGAAGGAUAGAGGUAGUAACUGGCCUUUAUUUGACGGUAAUCAACCAGAAAGUCACGGCUAACUACGUGCCAGCAGCCGCGGUAAUACGUAGGUGGCAAGCGUUGUCCGGAUUUAUUGGGCGUAAAGCGAGCGCAGGCGGAAGAAUAAGUCUGAUGUGAAAGCCCUCGGCUUAACCGAGGAACUGCAUCGGAAACUGUUUUUUUUGAGUGCAGAAGAGGAGAGUGGAACUCCAUGUGUAGCGGUGGAAUGCGUAGAUAUAUGGAAGAACACCAGUGGCGAAGGCGGCUCUCUGGUCUGCAACUGACGCUGAGGCUCGAAAGCAUGGGUAGCGAACAGG
This 781-nucleotide ribosomal RNA is filed under the name uncultured Lactobacillus sp. RNAcentral's name for it is "bacterial SSU rRNA". It matches the Rfam family "Bacterial small subunit ribosomal RNA", at positions 28 to 776 of the family's 1533-position model. The record is from RNAcentral. Lineage: Bacteria; Bacillati; Bacillota; Bacilli; Lactobacillales; Lactobacillaceae.